UUUUUUAUUUUUUUAAUAAUAAAUUCAUUUUUUAUUGGUGUUCAAUUUGCCAACAUACAGAUUAACACCCAGUGCUCAUCCCGUCAAGUGCCCCCCUCAGUGCCCAUCACCCAUUCACCCCCACCUCCCACCCUCCUCCCCUUCCACCACCCCUAGUUGGUUUCCCAGAGUUAGGAGUCUUUAUGUUCUGUCUCCCUUUCUGAUAUUUCCUACCCAUUUCUUCUCCCUUCUCAAGGAAGAAUUUUAAUACAAGGGCUGUCAAGGAGUGGUUUCAGCAAGAAGUGAAUUCCUUUCCACCAACCAUGUGGUUCUCCACGUUUAACUUGUUCACUGAUCACCCAGGUAGCUUUUUUUUACAAAACAGAUAUGCAAGACCUUUUCCACGGGAUUCUCAUAAAUGUGAACCAGGACUCUGGGAGCUGCAUUUGUAAAUAAAUGCUCCUGGGUGAAUCUGUUGCAGGUUGUCAAGAACACUGGGAAAUACUGAGGAGGCAACACAUGGCAACCCUACCAUUAGAGAGGGGGAUUCCUUUAUUAUAGGGGAACUUGGAUUGGAUGGUCCUAAGUUACCUUCAGAGUUGCUGAAACCAGAACUGGAAAAACAAAAUGUUGAGUGCUAGGAAUGAUAGGAUUGGAUGGGAACUGUGAGCUACUUCACUUGAGAAAGAAAAAAAAAAGAGCUGUAUCGCCAUCUGGUGGACUGCCUAAAAGUCUUUACACUCCACCCUAAAAUCCUAGAAUGAUUUUCUCAUUCUCUUUCUCAAUUCUGAUACCUUCCGCUUUACAGACCUGGAAUCAGAUUCAGAAAGGCUAGGUGGCACACACAGAGCCUACACCCCACAUCCAGCAAUUCUCAGGGUACUGCUUUUCAUAGGCUCGAAUUGCACAAGACUGAUGUCAUGCUUAUCAAUUACAAAUAUCUCAAGUUUUCCUCCAGCAAGUAAUCAGGAGGUUUAAGUUCUAGACAGCUGUCCCAGUGAAACAAAGUUCCCAGAUACUUCAGUACUACACUUCUCAAAGGACAGGGCACUGCUUUAAAAACGCAGAAAUCUUGGCUCUGUCUUAUGCCCAUAGCUAUGGACCGACCACUAGACCGUGGAUGCUUCACACCCUGCAGUGUCUGUCCUAAUCUAACUAGGUCCCAAACAGAAGCCUCACAUGUGUGCAUCUGGUUAGCAAACCUAAAUCACGUCUGAAUCUCUGGCUACAGUUUAGUUAGGGAAAUGUAGUGUUCAUGUUUAAUGUAGGUUUUCACUUGCUAGCCUCUGUCACCUAGGAAGGCAUAGGGAAAAGGGAAAAGCAAAGCAAAGAUUGGGAUAGAUGCUGAGCAAACCAAUCCAAAUCUUAUCACAUAAAGUUAUUCCCCUUGACCAUUCUUCCCAAACCCUCCUCCCUUACCUCUGUACAGCCCUAUUCCUGGAGAGUUGUCCAUUCUGUCUCCACCUCCUUACCUCUGACUCAUUCCUCAACCCACACGAUAAGAUGUCAUCCCCCUCAUAGCACCUCUAAGCACAUGAUCUUUUCAAUCUCCUUGCUUUAUCUUUCCCCCGCCCCCCUUCCACUCCUAUGUAGUGUCUGCCAAGUUCUGCAUUUAGCUCUGCCCCCGGUCCGUGUACUCUGCCUGGGUGGUCCUGUCCCCUUGCGUGGCGUAGCUACCAUAUGCAGAUAAUCCCCCAAAGCGUAACUCCAGCCAUAAAAUCUAUCCCAAAGAACAGACCUAGGUUUCCAGUUGCAUCGUGAAAGUGUCCGCCUGAAGAUCACGAGCACCUCAAACACGAUGUGUCUGCCACCAAAUUCAUCACUUACCCACCAAAUUUGUUUUUCUCCUUGCAUCCUAUGUCUAAGUAAACCACAAAUACCCACUUGCCAAAGCUGGAACCUUGGAAGUCAACUGGAUUCCUCUCUUUCCCUUUCAGUUCUUACAUUCAAACUGUCUCUAAGGCCCAUAAAUUCAGUGGAAUCCUUUUACCCAAGUUCCUGAGCUUAUUAUAAGUGCUCGCUAAAGAAAAACCUCAGACAUGGUCAUUCUAGCACUUUAUUGGAAACUGGUCGCAUACAUCAAUGAAAUCAGACCAAAGUAACAGCAUCACUUCCAC
Molecule: long non-coding RNA, 2096 nt
Filed under: Canis lupus familiaris (dog)
Lineage: Eukaryota; Metazoa; Chordata; Mammalia; Carnivora; Canidae
Description: lncRNA (ENSCAFG00000056208.1)
Source: RNAcentral